RNAcentral lists this long non-coding RNA (1497 nucleotides) under Vigna radiata. RNAcentral's name for it is "long non-coding RNA (VRAD_LNC018360)". The record is from RNAcentral. Lineage: Eukaryota; Viridiplantae; Streptophyta; Magnoliopsida; Fabales; Fabaceae.
UCCCAAUGCAGUAAUUAACAACACUUUCAAAACUGGCAUUAAUGCAACAAAGAAAAGCUUCCAAAACUCCAUUUUUGUGUCUUCUUUUCUUUCCACUUCUUUAACUAUUAUAAAUCAAAGUGGUAAUUAACUUUGAAAUUUGAAACAAUUUUCAAAUAAUUAACAACACUUUCAAAAUUGGCAUUAAUGCAAUAAAGAAAAGCUUCUAAAACUCCAUUUUUGUGUCUUCUUUUCUUUCCUCUUCUUUAACUAUUAUAAAUUAAGUGGUAAUUAACUUUGAAAUUUGAAACAAGUUUUAAAUAAUUAACAACACUUUCAAAACUAGCAUUAAUGCAAUAAAGAAAAGCUUCCAAAACUUCAUUUUUUUGUCUUCUUUUCAUUCCUCUUCUUUAACUAUUAUAAAUCAAGUGAUAAUUAACUUUGAAAUUUGAAACAAAUUUCAAAUAAUUAACAUCAAAAUCAUUCAUUACAAAAAAUAGCUUCAUCUUCUUUCUAAUGCUUUGUAUGUACAAAUACAAUAUACUAACUAAGCUUAUUAUCAUCGUCUUUAUACUUUCUUAAAUCAUUUGUAUAUUAUAAGUUCUUAACUGAUUAUCUGUUAUCAAAUGUUGAAAAUCUAAAUAUAAAUUUAAUUCUCACAUCACAUUACAUAUAACAACUAAUUUGUAUAUCAAUUAUAGAAUGUUAAAUAUUUGAGAAUUUAAAUAAGAAUUUAAUAAAAUGUUGAACAACGUAUAAGGCAAAACAAAUUGAUAAACUCAUUAUUAUCAAGUCUUGGUUGGAUUCCAUGUGAAUCUCUUACAUUUAAUAAAAUGUUGAACAACGUAUAAGGCAAAACAAAUUGAUAAACUCAUUAUUAUCAAGUCUUGGUUGGAUUCCAUGUGAAUCUCUUACAUGACUUAGACUCAUAUAUAAUUUUUUAUAGUAAUUAUUUAUAUCGAUUAUAAUAUACUAUGUAUAAAAAAUGAUGUAGUGACAUAAUUAUAAAUAAGAUAAUAUUUUUUUAUACUAGUUGUAGUUAUAAUAUGUAGCAAAGAUAUUUUUACAAUAAAGAAAAAAAAAUUAUACCCAUUCUAAUUAUAAUUUGUAUAGAAAAUAAAUAUAAUGACAUUUUGAUAAUAAAUAAGAAAACUUUUUAUAUCAAUUUUAAUUAUAGCUGAUAUAAAAAAUAGACGUGAUGACAUUUUUGUAUUAAAUAAAAAAACGUUCUAUAUUGAUUCUAAUCAUCAUUGAUAUAAAAAGCUUUUUUAACUAAUAUAAAGAACAACUUUUCUACAUGAUAAAUCUCCUAAAAAAAUUCAUGAUAAAAACACUUGCAUGACUAAGAAGUAUGAAAAAAGAAUCUUGAAUGAGAAAAUCUUGAUUACCUGAGGCUCCGAAUUUGGCACACUAGAAUGUUGUGAUGAGGAAUUUUAAAAGCACUUUUUUAGUGGGAGAUUAAGUACUUAUAGUGUAAAUAUGAACAUUGCGCACUAUCCCAAAAAAGUAGAAGCCAAA